GUAGUCAUAUGCUUGUCUCAAAGAUUAAGCCAUGCAUGUCUAAGUAUAAGCACUUGUACUGUGAAACUGCGAAUGGCUCAUUAAAUCAGUUAUCGUUUAUUUGAUUGUACGUUUACUACAUGGAUACCUGUGGUAAUUCUAGAGCUAAUACAUGCGAAAAAUCCCGACUUCGGAAGGGAUGUAUUUAUUAGACUAAAAACCGAUGCGGGUCCUUGUGGCUCGUUUCUUGGUGAUUCAUGAUAACUUUUCGAAUCGCAUGGCCUUUGCGCCGGCGAUGUUUCAUUCAAAUUUCUGCCCUAUCAACUGUCGAUGGUAAGGUAGUGGCUUACCAUGGUUGUAACGGGUGACGGAGAAUUAGGGUUCGAUUCCGGAGAGGGAGCCUGAGAAACGGCUACCACAUCUAAGGAAGGCAGCAGGCACGAAAAUUACCCAAUCCCAACUCGGGGAGGUAGUGACAAGAAAUAACGGUACGGGGUCUUUAUAGGUCUCGCAAUUGGAAUGAGUACAAUUUAAAUCCUUUAACGAGGAUCAAUUGGAGGGCAAGUCUGGUGCCAGCAGCCGCGGUAAUUCCAGCUCCAAUAGCGUAUAUUAAAGUUGUUGCAGUUAAAAAGCUCGUAGUUGGAUUUCGGAACGGGCCAGUUGGUCCACCGAAAGGUGUGCUACUGACUGGUCUGUUCUUCUUCGCGAAGACUGUAUGUGCUCUUCAUUGAGUGUGUGUAGGAUUUACGACGUUUACUUUGAAAAAAUUAGAGUGUUCAAAGCAGGCUAUCGCUUGAAUACAUGAGCAUGGAAUAAUGGAAUAGGACUUUGGUCCUAUUUUGUUGGUUUCUAGGACCGAAGUAAUGAUUAAGAGGGACAAUUGGGGGCAUCCGUAUUUCGUUGUCAGAGGUGAAAUUCUUGGAUUUACGAAAGACGAACAACUGCGAAAGCACUUGCCAAGAGUGUUUUCAUUAAUCAAGAACGAAAGUUAGAGGAUCGAAGACGAUCAGAUACCGUCCUAGUUCUAACCAUAAACGAUGUCGACUAGGGAUCAGCGGGUGUCAUUAUACGACCCCGUUGGCACCUUACGGGAAACCAAAGUUUUUGGAUUCCGGGGGAAGUAUGGUUGCAAAGCUGAAACUUAAAGGAAUUGACGGAAGGGCACCACCAGGAGUGGAGCCUGCGGCUUAAUUUGACUCAACACGGGAAAACUCACCAGGUCCAGACAUAGUAAGGAUUGACAGGUUGAGAGCCCUUUCUUGAUUCUAUGGGUGGUGGUGCAUGGCC
RNAcentral lists this ribosomal RNA (1266 nucleotides) under Tubularia sp. MIMB 44077. RNAcentral's name for it is "SSU rRNA". It matches the Rfam family "Eukaryotic small subunit ribosomal RNA", at positions 20 to 1289 of the family's 1831-position model. Lineage: Eukaryota; Metazoa; Cnidaria; Hydrozoa; Anthoathecata; Tubulariidae. The record is from RNAcentral.